AUUCAGCUGACGAGUCCCAGAUAGGACGAAACGCGCGUCAAGCUGGAU
Molecule: non-coding RNA, 48 nt
Filed under: Schistosoma mansoni
Lineage: Eukaryota; Metazoa; Platyhelminthes; Trematoda; Strigeidida; Schistosomatidae
Source: RNAcentral